GGAAUUGACGGGGCCCGCACAAGCGGAGGAGCAUGUGGUUUAAUUCGAUGAUACGCGAGGAACCUUACCUGGGCUCGAACGUAAGAUGACUGUAGGUGAAAGCUUACAUCUCUUCGGAGCAUUUUACGAGGUGCUGCAUGGUUGUCGUCAGCUCGUGCCGUGAGGUGUCGGGUUAAGUCCCAUAACGAGCGCAACCCCUACCUUUAGUUGCCAUCAGGUUAAGCUGGGGACUCUAAAGGAACUGCCUACGCAAGUAGUGAGGAAGGCGGGGAUGACGUCAAAUCAGCACGGCCCUUACGUCCAGGGCUACACACGUGCUACAAUGGCCGAUACAGAGGGCAGCUACCUGGUGACAGGAUGCAAAUCUCCAAAGUCGGUCUCAGUUCGGAUCGGAGUCUGCAACCCGACUCCGUGAAGUUGGAUUCGCUAGUAAUCGCGCAUCAGCCAUGGCGCGGUGAAUACGUUCCCGGGCCUU
This 475-nucleotide ribosomal RNA is filed under the name uncultured Sphingobacteriales bacterium. Its description in RNAcentral is "bacterial SSU rRNA". It matches the Rfam family "Bacterial small subunit ribosomal RNA", at positions 906 to 1382 of the family's 1533-position model. Lineage: Bacteria; Pseudomonadati; Bacteroidota; Sphingobacteriia; Sphingobacteriales. The record is from RNAcentral.